GAGAGAUCGAGCAAGAGUUUGUCUUCUUGUCUGAGCUUAAUCUGACCAUAGUUUUUGUCUUUGGUAGUGGUGGCAUCACUGCUGACGAUCUCAAACCAAUCAUUAAAACGUUAAAACAAGGAAAGGAUCUAAGGGGAAGGAUAUGGCUUGGGUUGCAAACGGAGGGCCACAAGGUGGUGUGAGGGAGGACCAUGGUCAAAGGUCAGGAGGUCAAGUCUAUCUUUUUUAAACUAUG
RNAcentral lists this long non-coding RNA (235 nucleotides) under Elaeis guineensis (African oil palm). RNAcentral describes it as "long non-coding RNA (EGUI_LNC022310)". Lineage: Eukaryota; Viridiplantae; Streptophyta; Magnoliopsida; Arecales; Arecaceae. The record is from RNAcentral.